Molecule: ribosomal RNA, 464 nt
Filed under: uncultured bacterium
Lineage: Bacteria
Description: partial 16S ribosomal RNA
Rfam family: Bacterial small subunit ribosomal RNA
Source: RNAcentral
GACGAACGCUGGCGGCGUGCUUAACACAUGCAAGUCGAACGGUAAGGCCCUUUCGGGGGUACACGAGUGGCGAACGGGUGAGUAACACGUGGGUGAUCUGCCCUGCACUUUGGGAUAAGCCUGGGAAACUGGGUCUAAUACCGGAUAGGACUACGCGAUGCAUGUCGUGUGGUGGAAAGCUUUUGCGGUGUGGGAUGGGCCCGCGGCCUAUCAGCUUGUUGGUGGGGUGAUGGCCUACCAAGGCGACGACGGGUAGCCGGCCUGAGGGGGUGUCCGGCCACACUGGGACUGAGAUACGGCCCAGACUCCUACGGGAGGCAGCAGUGGGGAAUAUUGCACAAUGGGCGCAAGCCUGAUGCAGCGACGCCGCGUGGGGGAUGACGGCCUUCGGGUUGUAAACCCCUUUCAGCACAGACGAAGCGUAAGUGACGGUAUGUGCAGAAGAAGCACCGGCCAACUACGUG